AUUACGGGGCGCAGCAGGCGCGAAACCUCCGCAAUGUGAGAAAUCGCGACGGGGGGAUCCCAAGUGCCAUUCUUAACGGGAUGGCUUUUCUUUAGUGUAAAAAGCUUUUGGAAUAAGAGCUGGGCAAGACCGGUGCCAGCCGCCGCGGUAAUUCAAU
This 157-nucleotide ribosomal RNA is filed under the name uncultured archaeon. RNAcentral's name for it is "partial 16S ribosomal RNA". It matches the Rfam family "Archaeal small subunit ribosomal RNA", at positions 322 to 479 of the family's 1478-position model. The record is from RNAcentral.